UGGGGAAUAUUGCACAAUGGGCGCAAGCCUGAUGCAGCAACGCCGCGUGAACGAUGAAGGUCUUCGGAUCGUAAAGUUCUGUUGCAGGGGAAGAUAAUGACGGUACCCUGUGAGGAAGCCCCGGCUAACUACGUGCCAGCAGCCGCGGUAAUACGUAGGUGGCAAGCGUUGUCCGGAAUUAUUGGGCGUAAAGCGUGCGCAGGUGGUUUAGAAAGUCUGAUGUGAAAGCCCACGGCUCAACCGUGGAGGGUCAUUGGAAACUAAUAAACUUGAGUGCAGGAGAGAAAAGUGGAAUUCCUAGUGUAGCGGUGAAAUGCGUAGAGAUUAGGAGGAACACCGGUGGCGAAAGCGGCUUUUUGGCCUGCAACUGACACUGAGGCGCGAAAGCGUGGGGAGCAAACAGG
Molecule: ribosomal RNA, 404 nt
Filed under: Verrucomicrobiota bacterium
Lineage: Bacteria; Pseudomonadati; Verrucomicrobiota
Description: Verrucomicrobia bacterium partial 16S ribosomal RNA
Rfam family: Bacterial small subunit ribosomal RNA
Source: RNAcentral